RNAcentral lists this ribosomal RNA (869 nucleotides) under Macrogastra mellae mellae. RNAcentral's name for it is "partial large subunit ribosomal RNA". The stretch from base 352 to 604 matches the Rfam family "Archaeal large subunit ribosomal RNA", at positions 1786 to 2143 of the family's 2987-position model. The record is from RNAcentral. Lineage: Eukaryota; Metazoa; Mollusca; Gastropoda; Stylommatophora; Clausiliidae.
UUAAAUUAAAAACAUAUUAUAUUAAUCAUCCCGAAGUAAGAAGAUCUAAUUUUUACCACAUUUUAGCAUUUUAAGAGCAUUAGUGUAGCAUAACUAAUAGUAGAGUAAAAAUUAGGAGUGAAAGGCUAAUCAAUUCUUACUGAUAUCUGGAUUAGGUCUAAAUAUAUUUAGUAUAUAACACAAAUAAAAAGCACUAAGAUUUUUUAUAAAAAAAAGAUUGAGUGGUCACAUCGGCUAAUUUAUUAAUAUAAAAUAGUUGAACCUAAAGAAAUAUAACUCUUCCCUAUUCUUUUUUAUUUAGACUUAUAGCCCCUGGUACAAUAAAGUGGUUAAAUUAUGUUUAAAUUAGUAUUAACUUAAAAAGAUCUUAAGGAACUCGGCAAGUACAUUUUUUCAACUGUUUAUCAAAAACAUAGCUAGCAGAUAAAGGCUGAUUGCUAGUUUAUUCUGCCCGGUGAGAUAUUUAACGGCCGCAGUACACUGACUGUGCAAAGGUAGCAUAAUAAAUUGGCUUUUAAUUGAAGUCCUGUAUGAAAGAAAUAAAUGGAAAAAAACUGUCUUAAGACUUUUUUUUAGAAGUUACUUAGAAAGUGCAAAUUCUUUCAAUAGCCUUUAAUAGACGAGAAGACCCUAUAAAUUUUUACUAAAAGAGGAAUAUUUCUUUUUGUGUUUUUGUUGGGGCAACAAUUUAACAGUAUAAGUAAAUUAAAUAAUUUAUAUCCUAUCCACCGAAUUCUAUUAAUUAAAAAAAAAUUACUAUAGGGAUAACAGCAUAAUUUUACAAGUAAGAUUGUGACCUCGAUGUUGGAUUAGGGCUCAGUCAAAUCAGUAAUUUGACUGUCAGGUUCUGUUCGAACUUUCUCUUCCCU